RNAcentral lists this transfer RNA (76 nucleotides) under Rugosibacter sp. Its description in RNAcentral is "tRNA-Ala". It matches the Rfam family "tRNA". From Rfam's summary of the family: Transfer RNA (tRNA) molecules are approximately 80 nucleotides in length. Their secondary structure includes four short double-helical elements and three loops (D, anti-codon, and T loops). Lineage: Bacteria; Pseudomonadati; Pseudomonadota; Betaproteobacteria; Nitrosomonadales; Sterolibacteriaceae. The record is from RNAcentral. RNAcentral also lists the same sequence under 1 other name.
GGGGGUAUAGCUCAGCUGGGAGAGCGCUUGCAUGGCAUGCAAGAGGUCCGCGGUUCGAUCCCGCGUAUCUCCACCA